RNAcentral lists this long non-coding RNA (3091 nucleotides) under Sus scrofa (pig). RNAcentral describes it as "lncRNA (ENSSSCG00000057070.1)". Lineage: Eukaryota; Metazoa; Chordata; Mammalia; Artiodactyla; Suidae. The record is from RNAcentral.
CUUGAUAUUUGUGGAUUAUUGUAUGCCAGAGAGUAGAAGAGUAGAUGUGUAAAAUGUAAUACUUGUAGGGAAUUGUUAGGCUUAGUUGAAUGUUAUUACUUCAUCAAGCAGAAAUGUGAGAUUAUUAAAAGCACAGAACUUGGAGUCACACACAGCCAUGUUCAAAUCCUGGCUUUUUCUUUUGUCAACUGUGUGACUUUAGGCAAAUCACAAAUUUCUGCCUCAAUUUCCUCAUCUGUGAAGAAACCAUAAUAAUAUUGGCUUAUUGCUUGUUUAAAGGAUUAAAUGAGAUCAGGGACAGUAUAGCAGAAUUAUCCCUUGUCAUGAAUAAGAUUUGUGUUACUAUGUUAUCUUAAAAAUGUUUGUUUUUCACACAAGUAUGAAUAGUGAGGAAUGAUGAAUAGAAACAUCUGGGAGAUUUGGAAAUAGGCACUGAAAAACAGUAUUUAUUUUUCAUUUGUCUGUUGUGAGAUAACUUUAAUGUGCUGCCUUACAUAGCUGCCCCCUGUCUUGUUUCUGAAAUAUUUUACAGGUUAGAGUGGGACCAUGUGGACCACUUGAGAAAUAAAAUAGGUUCAAGGUUUGUUAUAAAACCAUUUUCUGUCUUUGUUGGCAUUGCAUAUGUUGCUUUCUGUUAGACCAGAAGAAUAAAAGUGUUAGAUUUUCUAAUAAGAGCUUCUGUGAUUGAGGAAGAUAGAGUGCUCUUUUUAUGGAUAAAAUAUUUCAGUAUGUUUGGGUUUGUUUUGUUUUGUUUUGUUUGUUUUGUUUGUUUGUUUGUUUUACUUAGGGCCACACCCGCAGCAUAUGGAAGUUCCCUAGGUAGGGAUUGAAUCAGAGCUGUAGCAGCCGGUCUACACCACAGCCAUAUCAAUGCAGGAUCUGAGCCACAUCUGUGACCUACACUGCAGUUCACAGCAACGCUGGAUCCUUAACCUACUGAGCAAAGCCAGGAAUCAAACCUGCAUCCUCACAGAUACUAGUCAGGCUUGUUACUGCUGAGCCACAAUGGGAACUUACUUCAAUAUGACUUUAUUUCAAAUCUAAUUAGAGCUUUAUUGUAACAAUGUCUAUAGUUUCAAUUAUUAGCACCCAAAGUUCCAGAUGAUAGUCUCAGAUGAUUUAUUUGAGCAUACUUCCUACUUGAAGCAGUUUUUCUCUGAAAUUAGAUCAACAAACUAAAAAACAAACAAACAAAAAAAACCUCUUUCCUUUUAGUACUGAUAUAUAUUAGAGCACUUGAGACUGAAUCUUUUCAGAAUUUGUUUUGUUUUGUUUUUGAGAAUUAAGUGUCAUUUGGGGAAAAAUUAGGACUUAAACCCAGGAAACAGCAUCUCACAUAGCCCUGAGAAACUGCCCCUAGGUGGUAAGCAGGGAGCUGGGAUAUAUGAGUUUUUUCAACAAAAGGAAGGUAGGAUGAACAAAAGAUUCUUUUGGAAUAUGUAAAGGUCUGAGCUUACUGGAAUCACUCCUUUGAUACGCACUGCAGCUAUGGGACCAGUAUUCUUUGCUUCUUUCCUCAGUUCCCUCAGGGUUCACUGGUCCACUCUUGGGAAUGCCUGCAUAUGCAGAGAACCAUGACAUCUUUUGUUUUGUCCACUUAACUAUAGCCCAGGAGCCAAUAUUCCUGACAGUUCUGAAGUACCACCCCAAAAAGGAAAGGGGGAAUACCAAGAUAUAAGUCAUAAAGAUGAACCUUGUAAGAACUUGGAUGAAUCUUUUAAGAAUAUAAAAUAGGAAAAAAACAGUCUUUUCAAAAAGUGGUGUGGGGAGAACUGGAAAGCCGCAUGUAAAUCAAUAAAACUGGAACAUACCCUCAUGCCAUACACAAAAAUAAACUCAGAAUGGCUUAAAAACCUAAACAUAAGACAAGAUACCAUCAAACUCUUAGAGGAUAACGUAGGCAAAAUGUUCUCUGACAUCAGCCUUAUAGAUAUUUUCUCAGGUCAGUCUCCCAAGGCAGCAGAAAUAAAAGCAAAAAUAAAGUAAUUGGACCUAAUCAAACUGACAAGCUUUUGCACAGCAAAGGAAACCAUAAAAACCCAGAAAAGACAACCUACAGAAUGGGAGAAAAUAGUUUCAAAUGAUGCAACUGACAAGAGCUUAAUCUCCAAAAUAUGCAAACAACUUAUACAACUCAACAGCAAAAAAACCAACAACCCAAAUGAAAAAUGGGCAAAAGACCUGAAUAGACGUUUCUCCAAAGAUAUACAGAUGGCCAGAAGCACAUGAAAAAAUGCUCAACAUCACUGAUUAUUAGAGAAAUGCAAAUCAAAACUACUAUGAGGUACCACCUCACACCAGUCAGAAUGUCCAUCAUUAACAAAUCAACAAAUAACAAAUGCUGAAGAGGGUGUGGAAAAAAGGGAACCCCCCUACACUGUUGGUAGGAAUGUAAGCUGGUACAACCACUAUGGAGAACAGUAUGGAGUUACCUCAGAAAACUAAAUAUAGAACUACCAUAUGACCCAGUAAUUCUUUCUUGGGCAUAUAUCCAGAGAAAACUUUUCUUGAAAAAGACACAUGCACCCAUAUGUUCAUUGCAGCACUAUUCAGAAUAGCCAAGACAUGGAAACAACCUAAAUGCCUAUCAACAGAUGAAUAGAUUAAGAAUAUGUGGAAUAUAUACACAAUGGAAUACUACUCAGCCAUAAAAAGAACACAGUAAUGCCAUUUGCAGCAACAUGGAUGGAACUAGAGACUCUUCUACUAGGUGAGGUACUUCAGAAAGAGAAAGCGAAAUACCAUAUAAUAUCGCUUUUAUCUGGAAUCUAGUAUAUGGCACAAACGAACCUCUCCACAGAAAAGAAACUCAGGGACUUGGAGAAUAGACUCAUGUUUGCCAAGGGGGAGGGGGAGGGAGUGGGAUGUACUUGGAGUCUGGGGUUGAUAGAUGCAAACCUUUGCUUCUGGAGUGGAUAAGCAAUGAGAUCCUGCUGUAUAACACAGGGAAAUAUAUCUAGUCACUUGUGAUGAAACAUGAUGGAGGAUAAUGGAAGAAAAAGAAUAUAUAUUUAUGUAUGACUGAGUCACUUGUUGUACAGUAGAAAUUGAUAGAACACUGUAUACCAACUAUGAUGAAAAAAAUACAAAU